AUGGAACUCAUCAACAAGGUCUUCUCUCGCCCUCUUCUCUUCUCCUUUCGAUUCGAUCUGGAUGUUGCUCACACAUGCCCGAUUUGUUUUUCUUCCUCACAUAGGUCGUCGUCAAGCCCUCGAUCUGGCUGCGACCUCCAGCCAUCGCGAGAUCUGAACGACUCACGCAACCCUGCUCGCCGCAUCCUACUCGGCGGCCACCAUGGUUCCACCGUGGUGCCCUUCGACUCGCCCCUCCCUCUGCUUCGCGCGCCAGUCCCUUCCUCUUCCUCCGCCGCCUCCGCCGAGCCCCCCGUCCUCGCCUUCCAUGACGCCGCGAGCUGGCGAGCCGCCUGGGAGGCCGCCAAGGCCAGCCUCUUCUCCCAGUGCGAGCUGGCCGAGCUGCCUCGCGCUAGUCAAUGCCAGGCAGCAAGUUUAGCAGCUACGCACAUCAAACAGUGCAGACAAACCCCUGACUAG
This 459-nucleotide ribosomal RNA is filed under the name Triticum aestivum (bread wheat). RNAcentral describes it as "partial small subunit ribosomal RNA". Lineage: Eukaryota; Viridiplantae; Streptophyta; Magnoliopsida; Poales; Poaceae. The record is from RNAcentral.